RNAcentral lists this ribosomal RNA (298 nucleotides) under uncultured Alphaproteobacteria bacterium. Its description in RNAcentral is "partial 16S ribosomal RNA". It matches the Rfam family "Bacterial small subunit ribosomal RNA", at positions 9 to 318 of the family's 1533-position model. Lineage: Bacteria; Pseudomonadati; Pseudomonadota; Alphaproteobacteria. The record is from RNAcentral.
GAGUUGAUCGUGGCUCAGAACGAACGCUGGCGGCAUGCCUAACACAUGCAAGUCGAACGGGAUCCGGACUUCGGUUCGGUGAGAGUGGCGGACGGGUGAGUAACGCGUGGGAACCUGCCCAGUGGUGGGGAGUAACUAGCGGGAAACGUAGCAGCUAAUACCGCAUGAGCCCGACGAGGGAAAGGAAUUUAUCGCCAUUGGAGGGGCCCGGCGUUCGAUUAGGUAGUUGGUGGGGUAAGUGGCCUACCAAGCCGACGAUCGAUAGCUGGUCGUGAGAGGAUGAUCAGCCACACUGGGA